ACAUGGAUAGCUUUUGGUCAGCUUGGACAGCAGGUUAAUCGUGCUUGCUUCUGUCUGUAGUGAAAUUAGCUAUUUUUAAGAAUCACAGGCCAGCAAAUUCAACAGCGGGAAGGAGAGAGAGAGAGGUCAGUGUGGAGUCAUUGCAGAAGGACCGGUAUCUGCUGUUUGCUGCUGAAGAUACUCCUAUAUAAAGAUAUAGAUGAAUACUUUCACACCCAAAGGUCUGCAGAGAUGGUGAUAUCUCCAUGCCAGAGAUUCAAAAAUCAAAUUGAGAAGGCCUUGAGCAACUUCCCUUCACUGGACCCGCUUUGAGUGGGAGGCUGGACCAGAUGACUUCUGGAGAGCCCUUCCAGCUGCUUUGUCCUUCCAGUGAAUUCAGCCUCCUUCUCCCAGAAAGGAGCUUUCUGACUUGUCUAUGAUGCUCUGCUGUUGCUCUCAGCCUGUACUUCAUGGAGAAUUGCGAGGAGAGUCGCAGAUUGGUGGUCAAAAGUAAG
Molecule: long non-coding RNA, 494 nt
Filed under: Calidris pugnax (ruff)
Lineage: Eukaryota; Metazoa; Chordata; Aves; Charadriiformes; Scolopacidae
Description: lncRNA (ENSCPUG00000002531.1)
Source: RNAcentral